Molecule: unclassified non-coding RNA, 404 nt
Filed under: Hevea brasiliensis (rubber tree)
Lineage: Eukaryota; Viridiplantae; Streptophyta; Magnoliopsida; Malpighiales; Euphorbiaceae
Source: RNAcentral
AUGGAAUAUUGGUUAUACUUCAAGGUUUGGUUUGUACUAUGUAGACUACCACAACAACCUGACAAGAAUCCGCAAAAAUUCAGCUGACUUUUUCGAGAAAUUCCUGAAUCCACUAAAUACUUCAGAAAAUAUCGCCCAGAUUACUUCAGAGUAUUCAAGGAAGAUUGGGAAAUUCUACGUAAUGUAGCCUGUGUUGUGCCUUGUAAAGGUGCCAUAUCAAUCUGUGUUGCAAUUAAAUAAUAUCAUCACUGGGCUACUCCUAAGCUCCUGUGAUGCUGUGUGUCCCCUACGAGAGUUCCAAGCAUGACUUGUUGUAUUGCUAUUCUAUCUUUGAAAUAAAUGUAUUUUCCUUUUGAGUUGUGUUGUAUUGCUCUUGACGUGUAAUUGCAUUGGUUGGCUUUAAG